UACGUAGAGGGCAAGCGUUGUCCGGAUUUAUUGGGCGUAAAGCGCUCGCAGAUGGUCCGCUGCGUCGUGCGUGAAAGACCCCGGCUCAACUGGGGAGUAUCGUGCGAUACGGGCGGACUGGAGGCCAGUAGGGGGAUGCGGAAUUCCGGGUGUAGUGGUGGAAUGCGUAGAGAUCCGGAGGAACACCAGCGGCGAAGGCGGCAUCCUGGACUGGUCCUGACACUCAGGAGCGAAAGCGUGGGGAGCGAUCCGG
This 253-nucleotide ribosomal RNA is filed under the name uncultured bacterium. Its description in RNAcentral is "partial 16S ribosomal RNA". It matches the Rfam family "Bacterial small subunit ribosomal RNA", at positions 524 to 776 of the family's 1533-position model. The record is from RNAcentral.